UGGUCUUGACAUCCCGAGAACGUCUUGGAAACAAGAAAUUGCCUUCAUUCGAAGGAGCUCGGUGAC
This 66-nucleotide ribosomal RNA is filed under the name uncultured bacterium. RNAcentral describes it as "partial 16S ribosomal RNA". The record is from RNAcentral.